Molecule: ribosomal RNA, 2905 nt
Filed under: Enterobacter roggenkampii
Lineage: Bacteria; Pseudomonadati; Pseudomonadota; Gammaproteobacteria; Enterobacterales; Enterobacteriaceae
Description: 23S ribosomal RNA
Rfam family: Bacterial large subunit ribosomal RNA
Source: RNAcentral
GGUUAAGCGACUAAGCGUACACGGUGGAUGCCCUGGCAGUCAGAGGCGAUGAAGGACGUGCUAAUCUGCGAAAAGCGCCGGCGAGGUGAUAUGAACCUUUGACCCGGCGAUGUCCGAAUGGGGAAACCCAGUGUGAUUCGUCACACUAUCGUUAACUGAAUACAUAGGUUAACGAGGCGAACCGGGGGAACUGAAACAUCUAAGUACCCCGAGGAAAAGAAAUCAACCGAGAUUCCCCCAGUAGCGGCGAGCGAACGGGGAGCAGCCCAGAGUCUGAAUCAGCUUGUGUGUUAGUGGAAGCGUCUGGAAAGUCGCACGGUACAGGGUGACAGUCCCGUACACGAAAGCACACAGGUUGUGAACUCGAAGAGUAGGGCGGGACACGUGGUAUCCUGUCUGAAUAUGGGGGGACCAUCCUCCAAGGCUAAAUACUCCUGACUGACCGAUAGUGAACCAGUACCGUGAGGGAAAGGCGAAAAGAACCCCGGCGAGGGGAGUGAAAAAGAACCUGAAACCGUGUACGUACAAGCAGUGGGAGCACCUUCGUGGUGUGACUGCGUACCUUUUGUAUAAUGGGUCAGCGACUUAUAUUCUGUAGCAAGGUUAACCGUAUAGGGGAGCCGAAGGGAAACCGAGUCUUAACUGGGCGUUAAGUUGCAGGGUAUAGACCCGAAACCCGGUGAUCUAGCCAUGGGCAGGUUGAAGGUUGGGUAACACUAACUGGAGGACCGAACCGACUAAUGUUGAAAAAUUAGCGGAUGACUUGUGGCUGGGGGUGAAAGGCCAAUCAAACCGGGAGAUAGCUGGUUCUCCCCGAAAGCUAUUUAGGUAGCGCCUCGUGAACUCAUCUUCGGGGGUAGAGCACUGUUUCGGCUAGGGGGCCAUCCCGGCUUACCAACCCGAUGCAAACUACGAAUACCGAAGAAUGUUAUCACGGGAGACACACGGCGGGUGCUAACGUCCGUCGUGAAGAGGGAAACAACCCAGACCGCCAGCUAAGGUCCCAAAGUCAUGGUUAAGUGGGAAACGAUGUGGGAAGGCACAGACAGCCAGGAUGUUGGCUUAGAAGCAGCCAUCAUUUAAAGAAAGCGUAAUAGCUCACUGGUCGAGUCGGCCUGCGCGGAAGAUGUAACGGGGCUAAACCAUGCACCGAAGCUGCGGCAGCGACACUAUGUGUUGUUGGGUAGGGGAGCGUUCUGUAAGCCGUUGAAGGUGUGCUGUGAGGCAUGCUGGAGGUAUCAGAAGUGCGAAUGCUGACAUAAGUAACGAUAAAGCGGGUGAAAAGCCCGCUCGCCGGAAGACCAAGGGUUCCUGUCCAACGUUAAUCGGGGCAGGGUGAGUCGACCCCUAAGGCGAGGCCGAAAGGCGUAGUCGAUGGGAAACAGGUUAAUAUUCCUGUACUUGGUGUUACUGCGAAGGGGGGACGGAGAAGGCUAUGUUAGCCGGGCGACGGUUGUCCCGGUUUAAGCAUGUAGGCGGAACGAUUAGGUAAAUCCGGUCGUUUUUUAACGCUGAGGUGUGAUGACGAGGCACUACGGUGCUGAAGUAACAAAUGCCCUGCUUCCAGGAAAAGCCUCUAAGCAUCAGGUAACAUCAAAUCGUACCCCAAACCGACACAGGUGGUCAGGUAGAGAAUACCAAGGCGCUUGAGAGAACUCGGGUGAAGGAACUAGGCAAAAUGGUGCCGUAACUUCGGGAGAAGGCACGCUGAUAUGUAGGUGAAGCCCCUGCGGGUGGAGCUGAAAUCAGUCGAAGAUACCAGCUGGCUGCAACUGUUUAUUAAAAACACAGCACUGUGCAAACACGAAAGUGGACGUAUACGGUGUGACGCCUGCCCGGUGCCGGAAGGUUAAUUGAUGGGGUUAGCGGCAACGCGAAGCUCUUGAUCGAAGCCCCGGUAAACGGCGGCCGUAACUAUAACGGUCCUAAGGUAGCGAAAUUCCUUGUCGGGUAAGUUCCGACCUGCACGAAUGGCGUAAUGAUGGCCAGGCUGUCUCCACCCGAGACUCAGUGAAAUUGAACUCGCUGUGAAGAUGCAGUGUACCCGCGGCAAGACGGAAAGACCCCGUGAACCUUUACUAUAGCUUGACACUGAACACUGGUCCUUGAUGUGUAGGAUAGGUGGGAGGCUUUGAAGUGUGGACGCCAGUCUGCAUGGAGCCGUCCUUGAAAUACCACCCUUUAAUGGCUGGUGUUCUAACGUAGACCCGUAAUCCGGGUUGCGGACAGUGUCUGGUGGGUAGUUUGACUGGGGCGGUCUCCUCCCAAAGAGUAACGGAGGAGCACGAAGGUUAGCUAAUCCUGGUCGGACAUCAGGAGGUUAGUGCAAUGGCAUAAGCUAGCUUGACUGCGAGAGUGACGGCUCGAGCAGGUGCGAAAGCAGGUCAUAGUGAUCCGGUGGUUCUGAAUGGAAGGGCCAUCGCUCAACGGAUAAAAGGUACUCCGGGGAUAACAGGCUGAUACCGCCCAAGAGUUCAUAUCGACGGCGGUGUUUGGCACCUCGAUGUCGGCUCAUCACAUCCUGGGGCUGAAGUAGGUCCCAAGGGUAUGGCUGUUCGCCAUUUAAAGUGGUACGCGAGCUGGGUUUAGAACGUCGUGAGACAGUUCGGUCCCUAUCUGCCGUGGGCGCUGGAGAAUUGAGGGGGGCUGCUCCUAGUACGAGAGGACCGGAGUGGACGCAUCACUGGUGUUCGGGUUGUCAUGCCAAUGGCACUGCCCGGUAGCUAAAUGCGGAAAAGAUAAGUGCUGAAAGCAUCUAAGCACGAAACUUGCCCCGAGAUGAGUUCUCCCUGAGACUUUAAGUCUCCUGAAGGAACGUUGAAGACGACGACGUUGAUAGGUCGGGUGUGUAAGCGCAGCGAUGCGUUGAGCUAACCGAUACUAAUGAACCGUGAGGCUUAACCUU